Molecule: ribosomal RNA, 502 nt
Filed under: uncultured bacterium
Lineage: Bacteria
Description: partial 16S ribosomal RNA
Rfam family: Bacterial small subunit ribosomal RNA
Source: RNAcentral
UAGGGAAUCUUCCACAAUGGACGCAAGUCUGAUGGAGCAACGCCGCGUGAGUGAAGAAGGUCUUCGGAUCGUAAAGCUCUGUUGUUGGUGAAGAAGGAUAGAGGCAGUAACUGGUCUUUAUUUGACGGUAAUCAACCAGAAAGUUACGCUGAACUACGUGCCAGCAGCCGCGGUAAUACGUAGGUGGCAAGCGUUGUCCGGAUUUAUUGGGCGUAAAGCGAGCGCAGGCGGAAUGAUAAGUCUGAUGUGAAAGCCCACGGCUCAACCGUGGAACUGCAUCGGAAACUGUCAUUCUUGAGUGCAGAGAGGAGAGUGGAACUCCAUGUGUAGCGGUGGAAUGCGUAGAUAUAUGGAAGAACACCAGUGGCGAAGGCGGCUCUCUGGUCUGCAACUGACGCUGAGGCUCGAAAGCAUGGGUAGCGAACAGGAUUAGAUACCCUGGUAGUCCAUGCCGUAAACGAUGAGCGCUAGGUGUUGGGGACUUUCCGGUCUCAGUGCCGCA